AUUGAACGCUGGCGGAAUGCUUUACACAUGCAAGUCGAACGGCAGCACGGACUUCGGUCUGGUGGCGAGUGGCGAACGGGUAAGUAAUGUAUCGGAACGUGCCCAGUCGUGGGGGAUAACGUAGUGAAAAUUACGCUAAUACCGCAUACGAUCUAUGGAUGGAAGCGGGGGAUCGCAAGACCUCGCGCGAUUGGAGCGGCCGAUAUCAGAUUAGGUAGUUGGUGGGGUAAAGGCCCACCAAGCCAACGAUCUGUAGCUGGUCUGAGAGGACGACCAGCCACACUGGAACUGAGACACGGUCCAGACUCCUACGGGAGGCAGCAGUGGGGAAUUUUGGACAAUGGGCGAAAGCCUGAUCCAGCCAUUCCGCGUGCAGGAUGAAGGCCCUCGGGUUGUAAACUGCUUUUGUACAGAACGAAAAGGUUUCUACUAAUACUAGGAGCUCAUGACGGUACUGUAAGAAUAAGCACCGGCUAACUACGUGCCAGCAGCCGCCGUAA
This 500-nucleotide ribosomal RNA is filed under the name uncultured bacterium. Its description in RNAcentral is "partial 16S ribosomal RNA". It matches the Rfam family "Bacterial small subunit ribosomal RNA", at positions 30 to 523 of the family's 1533-position model. The record is from RNAcentral.